CAGUAGCCGCGGGAAUACGUAGGGUGCGAGCGUUAAUCGGAAUUACUGGGCGUAAAGCGUGCGCAGGCGGUUAUAUAAGACAGAUGUGAAAUCUUCGGGCUCAACUCGAAGUCUGUAUGAGAAACUGCCGGGCUUGAGUAUGGGAGAGGUGAGUGGAAUUUCCGGUGUAGCGGUGAAAUGCGUAGAUAUCGGAAGGAACACCUGUGGCGAAAGCGGCUCACUGGACCACAACUGACGCUGAUGCACGAAAGCUAGGGGAGCAAACAGGAUUAGAUACCCGAGUAGUCCCUGUCUCUUAUAC
Molecule: ribosomal RNA, 301 nt
Filed under: uncultured bacterium
Lineage: Bacteria
Description: partial 16S ribosomal RNA
Rfam family: Bacterial small subunit ribosomal RNA
Source: RNAcentral